This is a transfer RNA of Phytophthora infestans T30-4, 73 nucleotides long. It matches the Rfam family "tRNA". Rfam says of the family: Transfer RNA (tRNA) molecules are approximately 80 nucleotides in length. Their secondary structure includes four short double-helical elements and three loops (D, anti-codon, and T loops). The record is from Rfam. NCBI's taxonomy places the organism in Eukaryota, Oomycota, Peronosporomycetes, Peronosporales, Peronosporaceae.
ACCCGUCUAGCUGAGUAGGUAUAGCGCUGGCCUUUUAAGCCAGUGGUCGUGGGUUCGAGCCCCACGGGGGGUG